Molecule: long non-coding RNA, 275 nt
Filed under: Elaeis guineensis (African oil palm)
Lineage: Eukaryota; Viridiplantae; Streptophyta; Magnoliopsida; Arecales; Arecaceae
Description: long non-coding RNA (EGUI_LNC017608)
Source: RNAcentral
GGGGGACGUCGGAUCUGAGGUUGCUCCAAUGGUGUGGGGGCUGGUGGGAGGAGUUUGGGGGCUUCGAUAAUGGGGUAGGGGAGAAUGGGAACCGGAGGCAGCAGAUGAGGAACAGAGCGAUUGGGGAUCCAAGGGGUUUUUAUGGCACAUUAUUAACGACGGCUAGCUUUCAUCGCUAAAGUUGUCGCUAAUAGCUAUAAAUUUAUAGUGACGGCUUUACCGUUGCUAAUAAGUAUUAAAAACGUCGCUCAUAAUUCAUCGACCUUUUAACGAUA